This 307-nucleotide unclassified non-coding RNA is filed under the name plant metagenome. RNAcentral describes it as "partial contains 5.8S ribosomal RNA, internal transcribed spacer 2, and large subunit ribosomal RNA". The stretch from base 1 to 105 matches the Rfam family "5.8S ribosomal RNA", at positions 50 to 154 of the family's 154-position model. The record is from RNAcentral.
GAAAUGCGAUAAGUAAUGUGAAUUGCAGAAUUCAGUGAAUCAUCGAAUCUUUGAACGCACAUUGCGCCCGCCAGCACUCUGGCGGGCAUGCCUGUUCGAGCGUCAUUUCAACCCUCAGAACCCCUUGCGGGAUCUGGCGUUGGGGAUUGGCAUCCAGCCAGCCCCGAAAUCUAGUGGCGGUCCCUCCGCGACCUCCCCUGUGCAGUAGCGAUACCUCGCAGCGGGACAGCGGUCUGACCACGCCGUAAAACCCCCAACUUCUCAAGGUUGACCUCGAAUCAGGUAGGAAUACGCGCUGAACAUAAGC